CCUACGGGAGGCAGCAGUGGGGAAUAUUGGACAAUGGGCGAAAGCCUGAUCCAGCAAUGCCGCGUGAGUGAUGAAGGCCUUAGGGUUGUAAAGCUCUUUUACCCGAGAUGAUAAUGACAGUAUCGGGAGAAUAAGCUCCGGCUAACUCCGUGCCAGCAGCCGCGGUAAUACGGAGGGAGCUAGCGUUGUUCGGAAUUACUGGGCGUAAAGCGCACGUAGGCGGCUUUUUAAGUCAGGGGUGAAAUCCCGGGGCUCAACCCCGGAACUGCCCUUGAAACUGGGAAGCUAGAAUCUUGGAGAGGCGAGUGGAAUUCCGAGUGUAGAGGUGAAAUUCGUAGAUAUUCGGAAGAACACCAGUGGCGAAGGCGACUCGCUGGACAAGUAUUGACGCUGAGGUGCGAAAGCGUGGGAGCAAACAGGAUUAGAUACCCUGGUAGUCCACGCCGUAAACGAUGAUAACUAGCUGUCCGGGUUCAUGGAACUUGGGUGGCGCAGCUAACGCAUUAAGUUAUCCGCCUGGGGAGUACGGUCGCAAGAUUAAAACUUAAAUGAAUUGACGG
This 560-nucleotide ribosomal RNA is filed under the name uncultured bacterium. Its description in RNAcentral is "bacterial SSU rRNA". It matches the Rfam family "Bacterial small subunit ribosomal RNA", at positions 338 to 916 of the family's 1533-position model. The record is from RNAcentral.